CCUACGGGUGGCAGCAGUGAGGAAUAUUGGUCAAUGGACGAGAGUCUGAACCAGCCAAGUCGCGUGAAGGAUGACUGCCCUAUGGGUUGUAAACUUCUUUUAUAAAGGAAUAAAACGAGGCACGUGUGCCUUUUUGCAUGUACUUUAUGAAUAAGGAUCGGCUAACUCCGUGCCAGCAGCCGCGGUAAUACGGAGGAUCCGAGCGUUAUCCGGAUUUAUUGGGUUUAAGGGGAGCGUAGAUGGGUUGUUAAGUCAGUUGUGAAAGUUUGCGGCUCAACCGUAAAAUUGCAAUUGAUACUGGCAGUCGUGAGUACAGUUGAGGUAGGCGGAAUUCGUGGUGUAGCGGUGAAAUGCUUAGAUAUCACGAAGAACCCCGAUUGCGAAGGCAGCUUACUAAACUGUGACUGACAUUGAUGCUCGAAAGUGUGGGUAUCAAACAGGAUUAGAUACCCUGGUAGUC
RNAcentral lists this ribosomal RNA (460 nucleotides) under uncultured bacterium. RNAcentral's name for it is "partial 16S ribosomal RNA". It matches the Rfam family "Bacterial small subunit ribosomal RNA", at positions 338 to 795 of the family's 1533-position model. The record is from RNAcentral.